GACGAACGCUGGCGGCGUGCUUAACACAUGCAAGUCGAACGGAAAGGCCCUGCUUUUGUGGGGUGCUCGAGUGGCGAACGGGAGAGUAACACGUGAGUAACCUGCCCUUGACUUUGGGAUAACUUCAGGAAACUGGGGCUAAUACCGGAUAGGAGCUCCUGCUGCAUGGUGGGGGUUGGAACGUUUCGGCGGUUGGGGAUGGACUCGCGGCUUAUCAGCUUGUUGGUGGGGUAGUGGCUUACCAAGGCUUUGACGGGUAGCCGGCCUGAGAGGGUGACCGGCCACAUUGGGACUGAGAUACGGCCCAGACUCCUACGGGAGGCAGCAGUGGGGAAUAUUGCACAAUGGGCGGAAGCCUGAUGCAGCAACGCCGCGUGCGGGAUGACGGCCUUCGGGUUGUAAACCGCUUUCGCCUGUGACGAAGCGUGAGUGACGGUAAUGGGUAAAGAAGCACCGGCUAACUACGUG
Molecule: ribosomal RNA, 468 nt
Filed under: uncultured bacterium
Lineage: Bacteria
Description: partial 16S ribosomal RNA
Rfam family: Bacterial small subunit ribosomal RNA
Source: RNAcentral